UACGUAGGGUGCGAGCGUUGUCCGGAAUUAUUGGGCGUAAAGGGCUCGUAGGCGGUCUGUCACGUCGGGAGUGAAAACACGGGGCUUAACCCCGUGCCUGCUUCCGAUACGGGCAGACUAGAGGUAUGCAGGGGAGAACGGAAUUCCUGGUGUAGCGGUGAAAUGCGCAGAUAUCAGGAGGAACACCGGUGGCGAAGGCGGUUCUCUGGGCAUGAUCUGACGCUGAGGAGCGAAAGUGUGGGGAGCGAACAGG
This 253-nucleotide ribosomal RNA is filed under the name uncultured bacterium. Its description in RNAcentral is "partial 16S ribosomal RNA". It matches the Rfam family "Bacterial small subunit ribosomal RNA", at positions 524 to 776 of the family's 1533-position model. The record is from RNAcentral.